RNAcentral lists this ribosomal RNA (405 nucleotides) under uncultured bacterium. RNAcentral describes it as "bacterial SSU rRNA". It matches the Rfam family "Bacterial small subunit ribosomal RNA", at positions 474 to 879 of the family's 1533-position model. The record is from RNAcentral.
GGUACCUGAAGAAUAAGCACCGGCUAACUACGUGCCAGCAGCCGCGGUAAUACGUAGGGUGCAAGCGUUAAUCGGAAUUACUGGGCGUAAAGCGUGCGCAGGCGGUUCUGUAAGAUAGAUGUGAAAUCCCCGGGCUCAACCUGGGAAUUGCAUAUAUGACUGCAGGACUUGAGUUUGUCAGAGGAGGGUGGAAUUCCACGUGUAGCAGUGAAAUGCGUAGAUAUGUGGAAGAACACCGGUGGCGAAGGCAGCCCUCUGGGACAUGACUGACGCUCAUGCACGAAAGCGUGGGGAGCAAACAGGAUUAGAUACCCUGGUAGUCCACGCCCUAAACGAUGUCUACUAGUUGUUGGGGACGAUAGUCCUUGGUAACGCAGCUAACGCGUGAAGUAGACCGCCUGGGGA